Molecule: non-coding RNA, 7723 nt
Organism: Podarcis lilfordi (Lilford's wall lizard)
Lineage: Eukaryota; Metazoa; Chordata; Lepidosauria; Squamata; Lacertidae
Source: the annotation of a GenBank genome assembly
GUGCUGAGAUUUGAUGUCCCAUGCAUUCCUUUGGCGGCAUUUGUUCCUCUGACCUUUAUACUCGUUUGGCUCAUCGAGCGCUCUUGUAAAAAUGCAUGUGUUUUCUCACACACAAAUGCCAGGAACCACUUGAACUGCAUAUUUGAUUCCAGCUUUAAUGGGAGACAUUCCUAAUGGACAACAGUAAUACAGCCAAGCCAAAUUGGCCACGGUUUUAUGUUUACUAUGGCAGAAAGUAAGAACUUCAAAGCUCCUUUGUAAGACUUGAAAAGAAGACAAGUUUCUCCUUCAUAUCAUCAAGCUUAAUUACUGUCAAUAAGCAACAGUUGGCAAGAACAGCACAUCACAUGUUUCCAGUUCUGUCUUGGGAAAGGUCAACACAAUUUUUUAUAUAUAUUAUGCAGCCAUGUACUCUGAUCACAUAACACGUUUUAGAAAGCAUUAUGCAAUAUUAUGCUGCUGAUUAACAAUUGCACAAGAAGUUUUUCAUUAGCUUGAAUGUUUGUAUCCUGGGAAUGAUUAACUUUGUGACAUAACUCACAUAAAUAUGGAAGGCUCAGACAACUUCAGACUCAUGUUUCAGGACUAGCCAAACACUUUUCACUUGGUAGUGUACGUGAUUAAAAACUGUUUUCAGCUUCAGAGGUGAAAAUAGGGUAACCCAUUUCAGGAAAGAGCAGAGAUGAUUUAUUUUUAGGGGUCAAAGUGACACACAUGCUUUAAAAAAAUAAUAAUGUUGAAAACAGCAUUUCCUUCGUUCUGCAAAUGUUAUCAAUUUUCUCCAACAACUCAGAUUUUUAUUGUUCUACUGCCAAACUUAGAAGUAAAAGUGGCUCAUACAUAUUCAGUGUCAAUAAUCACUUUUUAUAUCGGGACAAGUACGUACAAGCAUUGGUCAAAACUGGUCAAAGGCUGUGUGUUUGUUACUAGAUCUGGCCCUUGAUAAUGUGAAAGAAAAGCAAAAACUUUUGAAUACACUGAAGAACAGACCCUGCAUGCUCAAAAGUAUCUGAUUUUUAAAAAGAGCAAUUUGGUUGUUCUCAAUCAUAAGCUGAGCAAGAUUAAUUCAUUAAAUAAAUUACUCCUGAUUGGAAAUGGUAAGUUUGCUGAACUUUUGCCAGAAACCAGCUGACAUUUGCUAAAGUAUUGUGUUGGAAUGAACAAUACUCCUCCCCCUUUACAUGCCAUAGUGUAAAAUCAGAUUUCGGAAAAGUGUCAACACUGUCAGAAAAGUUUCUAUACUAUCAACAUGUUCUGAUAUGAGUACAGUUCCUGAAUGGUGCAGCAAUAAAAUUUCUAGCGCAUUUGCAAAGCUAAUCAGGUUCUGGUAUGGUUUCAACUUGAAUGGGGGACUGUGUGUUGAGAGUCGGUUGGACUAAAUGAGCCUUGGGGUCCCUUCCAACUCUUUGAUUCUGUGAAGUAGAAAUACUUCUGGCACCACUACUGAAGUCUCAUGUAAAAUAUUUUUAUACUGCAGAGCAAGUAGCUUCAAAUUUCAUAUAAUAGCAACAUGGAAUAGAAGAUAACAGUGUUUGAAUCUUGGGAAAAUACUGUAUCUAGAUUGUGCUGGUUAGCACAAUCUGUUAGCAGAGGAGGAAGCUACAUGCUUCUUAGCUGAUCACCCAAUUCGAUGGGCAUCCUUCACAUCUCUUCAGAAUACAGUACUGCUUUUAACCUAAAAGAGGUUGUUCUAUACACUUUCCAGCCCUGUGUUUGUCUGGUCUGGAAAAUGGUCUGCUGCAGCAACUCUCACUAGAAUGAGUAAUACAUAGUCAUGUGGGUUGUCCAUCGGAAUUAGUGCAGCCGUUUGUGAAAAGGUAAACGACUUGAGUAAGAGCUGCAGGAUCUGACCUCCAUAUUCUGCUGGGAGAGGCGGUUUAGGAAUGUUACCAUAUUACCUCAUGUGUUCCAUUCCGCAGGAUCAGCUCAGCCAAAAGCAAAUAAAAAGCUAAACAUUGACUUGGAGUGUGUUCUCGGGAACUUGAGCAAUGUCUUUUCCUCCAUUCCAGUGUAGUAACAGCAGCGAGUGGAAAGGAAGGAGAUUCUGUUACCGCAAUCGUAUCAGUGCUCCUUAUUUGCCUUGAAUCUACGUGCGGAGCCAGCUAGGCUUUCAGCUGCGAUGACGAAAUGUCAUGCCUUUCUUCCUGGAAUAGUAUGCAGAUAAGAGGCCACUGGCUAUGUUGAGGUUUCAGAUGAACUCCUCUCAGGGUUUCAAAACAGCGUGUCACAAUUUGAUCAGGUUUCUUUAGCAACCGGUUCAUUACGUUUUGUCUUCAGGACAAAAGGAGAGGAGAGAAGGAGCAGUUUGUGUGCUCAUUCCUUUGUGGUUUUGCGGUUGUCGGCUCGCAGGAUGUGACUGUGGAGACUUUAAACAUUUACAUAAUCUCAACACUGAAUUACCGGCUCUUGGGAAUCACAAGUGAAGAGAGUGCUGUUGUGUUCAGGUACCGCUUAUGGGCUUCUGUUGUUGUUGUUGUUUAGUCAUUGAGUCGUGUCCGACUCUUCGUGACCCCAUGGACCAGAGCACACCAGGCACUCCUGUCUUCCACUGCCUCCCGCAGUUUAUAGUCAAACUCAUGCUGGUAGCUUCGAGAACACUAUCCAACCAUCUCGUCCUCUGUCGUCCCCUUUUCCUUGUGCCCUCCAUCUUUCCCAACAUCAGGGUCUUUUCCAGGGAGUCUUCUCUUCUCAUGAGGUGGCCAAAGUAUUGGAGCCUCAGCUUCAGGAUCUGUCCUUCCAGUGAGCACUCAGGGCUGAUUUUCUUAAGAAUGGAUAGGUUUGAUCUUCUUGCAGUCCAUGGGACUCUCAAGAGUCUCCUCCAGCACCAUAAUUCAAAAGCAUCAAUUCUUCGGCGAUCAGCCUUCUUGAUGGUCCAGCUCUCACUUCCAUACAUCACUACUGGGAAAAUACAUCUCUACUGGGCUUCUGGCUGGCCGUUAUUAGAAGAGGGUGCUUCUAAUAUAAUGGAUAUUUGGCCCGAUGCAACAGGUCUCUUACGUUCACAGUGUUGUUGCAAUAAUCCAACAAUUCUGUUUCUGUCCAUUGAAUCCAUAUUGAAAUAACACCCCUAUUGUAUGAUAAUUGUUAAAAAGAAGUGGAUUUUGCAUUUGAGAUUUUUCCGUAGGCUUUUGGAACUUUCAUGUCAUAUGAUAUGCAACAGCUCUCCAUGGUCUGUUCUCCAAGGUCCUUUCAGUGUUCUUUCACACAGCUUAUAGGCUCUCCCACUUCAUUCUCUCAAGUCAAGUGCAAUGCGUUUCUUCGGAGAUUAUUCCAUUUGCAGUUGAGAGUCAUCAAGAGAUAAAUGUACUACUGAUGGUUUAGUUACAUCCCACCUUUCAUCUGAGGAGCUCAAGGCGGUGAACACUGUUCCCCGCCCCCUCCUCAUUUUACCCUCAAAACAACUCUGUGAUGUAGGUUGGGCUGAGAGACAGUGGCUGACAAAAGGUCACUGCCCAGAACUUCAUGGUUGAGUUGGUAUUCAAAUCUGGGUCUUCCUUGCUCAGCACACUAACCAGUGCAACACACUGGCUCCCCACUUGUGUUCGUGCAGCGAGCAUCAGAAUCGCUGCCUCCUCAAAGGGGCUUUGAGAUGUUUUGGAGUUUGCUGUAUAGCACAAAUGCAAAUCUGAAUUAUGUGGACAGUUGAUUGGAAAUAUUUACAAAGAGAGCAUAAAUCAAGAAGCAAAAGAAAGCCAAGUAUUAGUUUUCCAGUUAUCCUAUGAAAUGGGUACUGUUGGUGGAUGCUGUCUUCUACAAGUUUGUGUAUAAACGCCCAUCCAUUUCUGUAGCGAUCAAACAAGAAACAUUUCCAGUAGAUUUGACCCAAAGGCUUUUUUUGCCUGUAUGCCGCUUUCGUUAGUAAAUUUUGGUAGUAAAGACAGUGUUAUUGGCUGCGACAGUAGGAGCUCCCUUUUGGAUUCCCGAAGAAAUGUGGGUAUAGGAAUUAGUAUGUGGAUGCAGACUCAGUCCUUAAAGAUAGUAAGUUCCUAACCUGUCGGGAAGCAACACCAUUUAGGGCUUCUAAAGCAUGCAUAAGAUAAGAGAUGGAGGAAAAUGUAGACCUGAAUGAUAUUUAGGACCUCUCCUUGUAGGCAGCAAUUCCAUUGUCAUUAAACGUCAGUCCUCUCAGUCUUUACUCCAAAACUCAACAGGAUUUCAGAUCUUUUUUUUUAUUUUAAUGAUAUUUAUUAAAAGUUUAAGAAUUACAGAAAAAAGAGGGGGGGGGAAACAGCAAAAAAUUUGACAAAACAUACAUUACAAUACAUAAAAAGAAAAGCAUAAAAAACAAUACAACAAUACAGCAAAAAAAACCAAAAAAACAAUAACAUUAACAAUAACAUUAAAACACACAUCCAAUGUUCCAUAUCUUUAUCUUUCAUUUACUUGUUUCAUCGACCUCCUCACACCUCCCUUUUUGUAUUCUAAUUUAAUUAAUUGUUUCAGCAAAUUCUUUCCAUCUUUCUCAAUUUUUUUAUAUAAUUUAUCUUAACGAUCUAACCUUUUAAUUAACUCAACAAAUCCUUUCCAUCUUUCACUAUAUUCUGUCAUUCAAUUUACCUUAAUUUAUUUAACCUUAUCUUACCAUAAAAAAAAACCUUAAACCUUAAAACUUAAUACUUAUUUGUACAUAACUCCUUAUAUCAUUUCUACUAAAGCCAAAUAGUUUCAUUCCAACAAUUUUCCUAAUACUCGUUAAUUUUACACUAAUUCUCAAAAUAAUUUUUUUAAAAACUUUCUUCCAAUCUUCAUCCAACGUCUCUUCUUCCUGGUCUCGGGUUUUGUCAGUCCUUCUUGUCCAUUCCAUCUAGUCCAUCAACCUGGUGAUCUUAUGUCCGAGGCUCUUAAGUCUUUUCCAUGUCCCUUCUGCAGAUCUUCUUCUUGUUUAUACCUGCACUUUACUUUGUCUUUUGUUGAUCUUUUUCUUAAUUUCUUUCCUUUCUCAUUGGGGGGUAGGUCUCGGGAGGACUCCAAUCCAAAAAUAUCUCCAUCUCCCCUCAGCAGAUCAGCCCAUUCCCCACAGUCCCAUUCCCCACAGUCAACACUGUAAUCCAGGAAGUAUUUAAAAGCAUGUUUCAAAGUCCUUCCAAAAUUAAGAGCCCUCACAACUCCAGACCCCCCCUGGUCCACUCCAGAUUCAAACUUCAAGAACAGCGGCUUAUGCUCCUGCAAGGCCUCAGAUCUCUCCAUUUGUGUUACUUGAGGUUCAACAGCAACCUCCUCCAUUAUCUUCUGCACUUGCGCUUGCCCUGUCAAAACAAGUUCCUGGGCUGGUUCCUGAAUGGUUUCUAUAUGGGUAUUCGCCGUUUGUCCAAAGUUUUUAACUGCAACAGUCAUCAAAUCCAUCUUCUCAUGCAUCUGCUCCAGCAAAGCGCUUGUCUUGCAAAAAGCAAGCACCAAAACUUCUUCUAAACACAUUUUUAUUCAAGGUCAGAGUCUGGUCUCACGAUCCUAAUCUUACAGCUGUGAAAUCCCCAGAUCGACUCCGGCAACAAAUUAACAAGCUCCCUCUAGAGGAGACAAUUUCUAUUUGUAUCCAUCUUUUGAAAGCAGGACCAACAAAAGAAAAUUACUUUCAUUUUUCAAAUAUUUUGUUUCUUUUAAAUGCAAGAAGCAACAUUGGAGUCAAUUUGUUUCUCUUUUUUUUACUAUCUGUCAAAAGACGUUCCAUUCACAGUCGAUGAACUUCCCCAUAAAUUUCUGUCUCUGACACCCCGAUCCCAGGUUUGAGACGGUGGAAAUUUAUCUUUCUUUACUCUCUCUCCUGCAGGCUUAAACAGUCAAAAAUUCCCCCCCUUUUCUCCUGCUUCCAAGAGGGGUUUUGGUGGUAAUAACUGAAGGAAAUUUAGACCUUUAUAUACGACUUUCCAGACUUUAGCUUACAAAGUUUUUGCUUCAAUUUAUUUACAAAAAUGGGAGGCGGACUUCCUGUUUAGAGCCUUCCCGCUUCAGUGCCAAAUUAAAAUGUUUCUUAAUCCAAUUUUCCGUUCUACUCACGGGUACUUGUUUAGAGUCCAAUUGUCCACAGGAAAAGGUCAGCGCUCUCCGGCAACGGCUGUGCGGCUUCACUCCGUAAAAGUAGCGGUUGAUUCAAAACACCGCGCCACUCACCCCACGUCGCUUCGGAUCCCCGAAAAAGGGUUUCCCUGCGAGUAGGGGAGGCGCUCCUGGUGUCAGCCGAAUCCCACGUUCCCAGGCUUCCUCCGCCUGGGAUUUUUAGAGGGUCUCCGCCUUCGCCGCGGCAGCAAGACCCGAUUUUCAUGGAGCGGGUUCCUCUCGGUCAGAGGAACUCCGCCAUUGCCGAUGGCACUAACCCGGAAGUCCCAGGAUUUCAGAUCUUAAUGACCUUGCAGUUGAUAUUUUCGGAUGACCUAUAGAAGUUGAGUACGUUGCGACUUACUGGUGAGGAAAGAUACUUAUCAGUCUUUUAUUGCUCUUCAGUGUAUGGAGUCCAUUCUUCUGAGCAUGAUUUUAUGAGUAGAAGCAGAUGGUAAUUAGAAAACAAAACCCGAAACACCCCCUCGUUACUAUUUUUGUCUCAUUAUUUAAAAGAAUAAAAAAAAGUUGGAAGUUACUGUACUCUGCAAAACCCCACUGUCAGCACAUUUCUUUCUUGAGUUGAAAACAAAUCUGUCAGCAAUUUAUGUUUUCUAUGAGUACUUGUGUUUUCUUUCUUUAGAUAGUUUCUUUAAAUAAAGUGCCUUUGUAAUGGAGUCCAUUUUUAAGCGUUAAGCGUCAACAAAUUGCCAUCUGUCUUGUAAAGGCUCUCUGUCAUCUUGAUGAGGUCAGCACUCUGGUUAAUGUCGAGGAGCAGCGACGUGAAUUAGACUUCAAAGUCUGAAUGGCCUGAAACCGACAUCCUGAAGAUGGAUGCAACAGAUUUUCAGGCAUGCAGCUAUGAAAGCCGAAGCAAAGUAAAUUGUAGACCUUUGAAAAUCCUUUACACCCUCUUUUGGUAAAAGUGUUGAGCAGUUCUCAGAGUGUUUGAUGACAAAUUCAGCGGAUUAUCUAUUAGGUACCUAAAUGGACGUGUUAUAUUAAGGCAGGGGUCUGCAUGGCCUGGAUCACUCCCGUGGAGAUCCUCCGUGGGCCAGACUGAAGCAGCACGACACUGAAAAGUGUGUCUGCGCGUGCCCAGACACCAAAAAUCGUGCCUGCACAGAAGCAAUUUUCAGUGCCACGGACAUGCUCAGAUGCAAUUUCCGACAUCUGGGCAUGUGCAGAAGCGAUUUCCGGAGCUGUGGAAGAGAGUUGCUGCGCUGCACCGGUUUAGCACAGCGCGUGGGGUGACUCAGUUUGGGGGCAGCUCAUGGGCCGGUUAAGCAGCCCUCAUGGGCUGCUUCUGGCCCAUGGGCCUUAGGUUGCCGACCUCUCUCUUAAAGGAUGUGUCCCCUUUGCCAUCUUAUGUGGGCUGACUUGCCUUCUUAAGUGGUAGUGGUGGCAGAUUAUCAGGUCAGCUGGUUGGCCAUCAAUUCUUCCUGUGCUGAUUUCUUCCAGGUCAAUGCUUCAUCAUAACUGGUGACAAAGCUGACCAACGAGGAGAAAGUUGGCUAGUAUUUCCAUCUGACCUAAUUAUCUGGAUCCCAGGCAAAUGGAGGAACCAACAAAGCCUGAGCUACCCUUCCACCACAUAUCAUCAUGCUGUAUCUCACAGUGCCACCUGUCUAUGGUCAAACUAACUGCAGCGUGACGACAUUCUUAUGUUUUUAUUACAUGUAAAGAUAAG